RNAcentral lists this ribosomal RNA (900 nucleotides) under uncultured archaeon. Its description in RNAcentral is "bacterial SSU rRNA". It matches the Rfam family "Archaeal small subunit ribosomal RNA", at positions 455 to 1354 of the family's 1478-position model. The record is from RNAcentral.
GUGGCAGCAGCCGCGGUAAAACCAGCACCUCAAGUGGUCAGGAUGAUUAUUGGGCCUAAAGCAUCCGUAGCCUGUUCUGUAAGUUUUCGGUUAAAUCUGUACGCUCAACGUACAGGCUGCCGGGAAUACUGCAGAACUAGGGAGUGGGAGAGGUAGACGGUACUCGGGAGGAAGUGGUAAAAUGCUUUGAUCUCUCGAUGACCACCUGUGGCGAAGGCGGUCUACCAGAACACGUCCGACGGUGAGGGAUGAAAGCUGGGGGAGCAAACCGGAUUAGAUACCCGGGUAGUCCCAGCUGUAAACUAUGCAAACUCAGUGAUGCAUUGGCUUGUGGCCAAUGCAGUGUUGCAGGGAAGCCGUUAAGUUUGCCGCCUGGGAAGUACGUACGCAAGUAUGAAACUUAAAGGAAUUGGCGGGGGAGCACCACAAGGGGUGAAGCCUGCGGUUCAAUUGGAGUCAACGCCAGAAAUCUUACCCGGAGAGACAGCAGAAUGAAGGUCAAGCUGAAGACUUUACCAGACAAGCUGAGAGGUGGUGCAUGGCCGUCGCCAGCUCGUGCCGUGAGAUGUCCUGUUAAGUCAGGUAACGAGCGAGAUCCCUGCCUCUAGUUGCCAUCAUUACUCUCAGGAGUAGUGGGGCGAAUUAGCGGGACCGCCGCAGUUAAUGCGGAGGAAGGAAGGGGCCACGGCAGGUCAGUAUGCCCCGAAACUCUGGGGCCACACGCGGGCUGCAAUGGUAAUGACAAUAGGUUCCAAAUCCGAAAGGAGGAGGUAAUCCCUAAACAUUACCACAGUUAUGACUGAGGGCUGCAACUCGCCCUCACGAAUAUGGAAUCCCUAGUAACUGCGUGUCAUUAUCGCGCGGUGAAUACGUCCCUGCUCCUUGCACACACCGCCCGUC